CUCGCAAGUUUGUGGAGCACGUGAAGUCCCAGGGGCAUAAGGACAAAGCCAAGGAGCUGAAGUCGCUUGAGAAAGAGAUUGCUGGCCAAGAUGAGGACCACUUCAUUACAGUGGACGCUGUGGGUUGCUUCGAGGGUGAUGAAGAAGAGGAAGAGGAUGAUGAGGAUGAAGAAGAGAUCGAGGUGAGGUCCAGAGAUAUAUCCAGAGAGGAGUGGAAGGGCUCGGAGACCUACAGCCCCAAUACUGCAUAUGGUGUGGACUUCCUGGUGCCCGUGAUGGGCUAUAUCUGCCGCAUCUGCCACAAGUUCUAUCACAGCAACUCAGGGGCACAGCUCUCCCACUGCAAGUCCCUGGGCCACUUUGAGAACCUGCAGAAAUACAAGGCGGCCAAGAACCCCAGCCCCACCACCCGACCUGUGAGCCGCCGGUGCGCAAUCAACGCCCGGAACGCUUUGACAGCCCUGUUCACCUCCAGCGGCCGCCCACCCUCCCAGCCCAACACCCAGGACAAAACACCCAGCAAGGUGACGGCUCGACCCUCCCAGCCCCCACUACCUCGGCGCUCAACCCGCCUCAAAACCUGAUAGAGGGACCUCCCUGUCCCUGGCCUGCCUGGGUCCAGAUCUGCUAAUGCUUUUUAGGAGUCUGCCUGGAAACUUUGACAUGGUUCAUGUUUUUACUCAAAAUCCAAUAAAACAAGGUAGUUUGGCUGUGCAG
RNAcentral lists this small RNA (717 nucleotides) under Pan troglodytes (chimpanzee). Its description in RNAcentral is "processed transcript". The record is from RNAcentral. Lineage: Eukaryota; Metazoa; Chordata; Mammalia; Primates; Hominidae.